GAUGAACGCUGGCGGCGUGCCUAAUACAUGCAAGUCGAGCGAACAGAUAAGGGGCUUGCUCCUUUGACGUUAGCGGCGGACGGGUGAGUAACACGUGGGUAACCUACCUAUAAGACUGGAAUAACUCCGGGAAACCGGGGCUAAUGCCGGAUAACAUUUAGAACCGCAUGGUUCUAAAGUGAAAGAUGGUUUUGCUAUCACUUAUAGAUGGACCCGCGCCGUAUUAGCUAGUUGGUAAGGUAACGGCUUACCAAGGCAACGAUACGUAGCCGACCUGAGAGGGUGAUCGGACACACUGGAACUGAGACACGGUCCAGACUCCUACGGGAGGCAGCAGUAGGGAAUCUUCCGCAAUGGGCGAAAGCCUGACGGAGCAACGCCGCGUGAGUGAUGAAGGUCUUCGGAUCGUAAAACUCUGUUAUUAGGGAAGAACAAAUGUGUAAGUAACUGUGCACGUCUUGACGGUACCUAAUCAGAAAGCCACGGCUAACUACGUG
RNAcentral lists this ribosomal RNA (497 nucleotides) under uncultured bacterium. RNAcentral's name for it is "partial 16S ribosomal RNA". It matches the Rfam family "Bacterial small subunit ribosomal RNA", at positions 28 to 507 of the family's 1533-position model. The record is from RNAcentral.